GCUUCUAACUAAAGGACUUCAAUGGUAAAUUUAUAAUAAGAAUUCUGUGAAUCAGUCUCUAUAUACUGUGCCUCUGAUGGCUCACAUGAAUACUAGCUAUAUUAGCUAGCAAGGUCAAUUGGCAUUAUCCAAAGAGAUUAAGGAUCAAUUCCAUCACACCCAAGGUGGUAAAGAUUAUGGAUGGUUAACCCUAGGGGUGGUUGUGUAACCCAGCCAUUGAAUAUUUGUGUUUGCAUGCGUGCGUAUAUGAGCAACCAUUAUGCUCUGGGAUUAGUUUUCAAUGUGUAGCAUCCAGUUAUUAGAAAAUUAAUCCAAAAUAUAGAAUAGAUUAUAAAUUUCAAACCUGGGUUAGGGGUUGAAAUGCUCUGGUUGGUGCAUUUUUGUCUCAGCAAAUAGUUUGCUUUGAUUUUUUAUAGGUUGAAGCUAUUGUUUUCAUUGGAAAUGUGGCAUCAGACGCUACAUUGUGGAUUUUGAAAGUAAUGAAGUUUAGGCUAAAAACUCAACUCAAUUCAACUAAGUCUUUAUCCCAAAAA
RNAcentral lists this unclassified non-coding RNA (533 nucleotides) under Hevea brasiliensis (rubber tree). Lineage: Eukaryota; Viridiplantae; Streptophyta; Magnoliopsida; Malpighiales; Euphorbiaceae. The record is from RNAcentral.